GACAGAGGUGCCGAGCGUUAGGCGGAAUCACUGGGCUUAAAGCGUGUGUAGGCGGAUUCCUAAGUACCUUGUGAAAUCCCACGGCUUAACCGUGGAACGGCUUGGUAUACUGGGUGUCUUGAGCCAACUAGGGGGCGACCGGAACAAACGGUGGAGCGGUGAAAUGCGUAGAUAUCGUUUGGAACGCCAAUGGUGAAAACAGGUCGCUGGGGUUGUGCUGACGCUGAGACACGAAAGCCAGGGGAGCGAACGGG
Molecule: ribosomal RNA, 254 nt
Filed under: uncultured bacterium
Lineage: Bacteria
Description: partial 16S ribosomal RNA
Rfam family: Bacterial small subunit ribosomal RNA
Source: RNAcentral